This 309-nucleotide unclassified non-coding RNA is filed under the name Hevea brasiliensis (rubber tree). The record is from RNAcentral. Lineage: Eukaryota; Viridiplantae; Streptophyta; Magnoliopsida; Malpighiales; Euphorbiaceae.
CGGUCGGUGAUGGCACUGUCCAGGUCACCUGGUCUGUUUGUGGCAAGGACAAGAACUAUAUCUCUUGAUUGAUCCCCAGUUCGAAAGAGCAAUGCAUUUAAAGCACUUCGUUGAGCUUCACUCAUAUGUGUACUAUUACGCUCACUCAGGAAUGCAUCAGCCUCAUCAAUAAAAAGCAGAAGGCCCUUCCUAGACUUCUUAGCCCAAUCAAAAAUCUCAUGUAUUUUUGUAACAGCCUGUGCACCUAAUGGCGCAACAUCCCCUCCUGUCAUCAUAGCAUAAUCUAAACCCGAUUUUCGAGCUAUCUCC